CAAUGGGAUGGGAUCUCUCUGGCUCUAUCCCUCUCUAUAUAUACAUGAUUAUAUGAGUGUGUAAAAAUCAUCUUGUAGAUCUCUUGAAACAAGUGUCCCAAUAGCGUCGUAUUAUCAAGAUGGACAAGUACCCAACUCCCAUCCGUGCAAGAGUCCUACUGCAAGCUCUACUUCUUCUUCUCAUAUGUCAUGCUACUACUACACAAUGUCGAAUCAUCAAUGGCAUCGAUAAGGAUAAGAUCAAUUUACAUGGGUUGUGUGUCAUAGA
Long non-coding RNA from Hordeum vulgare subsp. vulgare (domesticated barley), 268 nucleotides. RefSeq lists it as uncharacterized. NCBI's taxonomy places the organism in Eukaryota, Viridiplantae, Streptophyta, Magnoliopsida, Poales, Poaceae. The record is from RefSeq and is a predicted model, not a curated record. The transcript has 2 exons.